GAUGAACGCUGGCGGCGUGCCUAAUACAUGCAAGUCGAGCGAACGGACGAGAAGCUUGCUUCUCUGAUGUUAGCGGCGGACGGGUGAGUAACACGUGGAUAACCUACCUAUAAGACUGGGAUAACUUCGGGAAACCGGAGCUAAUACCGGAUAAUAUUUUGAACCGCAUGGUUCAAAAGUGAAAGACGGUCUUGCUGUCACUUAUAGAUGGAUCCGCGCUGCAUUAGCUAGUUGGUAAGGUAACGGCUUACCAAGGCAACGAUGCAUAGCCGACCUGAGAGGGUGAUCGGCCACACUGGAACUGAGACACGGUCCAGACUCCUACGGGAGGCAGGAGUAGGGAAUCUUCCGCAAUGGGCGAAAGCCUGACGGAGCAACGCCGCGUGAGUGAUGAAGGUCUUCGGAUCGUAAAACUCUGUUAUUAGGGAAGAACAUAUGUGUAAGUAACUGUGCACAUCUUGACGGUACCUAAUCAGAAAGCCACGGCUAACUACGU
RNAcentral lists this ribosomal RNA (496 nucleotides) under uncultured bacterium. RNAcentral's name for it is "partial 16S ribosomal RNA". It matches the Rfam family "Bacterial small subunit ribosomal RNA", at positions 28 to 506 of the family's 1533-position model. The record is from RNAcentral.